Molecule: long non-coding RNA, 451 nt
Organism: Mauremys reevesii (Reeves's turtle)
Lineage: Eukaryota; Metazoa; Chordata; Testudines; Geoemydidae
Exons: 2
Source: RefSeq, a predicted model, not a curated record
CCCAGCCACUCCUCUGUCAUGAUGGGCCCAAUUGGAGUGAGUGGCAUUACACCAUGUCACGAUGCCCAGAGUGAGGAGCCCAGGCCAAGCCCCGCAGGACAGGAGCUGUGGCUGCAGGGUGAUGAUGGGGUGUUUGCUCAUUGAUUUGCAAAUCAGCCCAGUUUCACUUGAAGUGGCGCCUAGGUUCAGCUGAAAGGCUCCCACAAACCUUUUCAUGAACCUGCUCUGAGCUAGUAAUGACACCCACAAGCAGGCGACUUGGUGUGAUUUCAGGUUUUGUUCCGAACAUUUUGUACGUUCUAGCCAGGAGUCUUUUCCAAAUGAGGAGGAGCCAUGCAAACCCACUGAGAGCUGUAACUCUGUUAUGCGAGAUGCAUAGUCCGACACCACAGUGAGAUGAGAAUUCCUGCUUCACAUCCCAUAACUGAAUAAGAACUGAGCAGAAACCUGU